Molecule: long non-coding RNA, 969 nt
Organism: Ananas comosus (pineapple)
Lineage: Eukaryota; Viridiplantae; Streptophyta; Magnoliopsida; Poales; Bromeliaceae
Exons: 2
Source: RefSeq, a predicted model, not a curated record
UGGCUUAAUGUAAAUUAACUCUAAAAUAAUUUUCAGUUGGAAUAGGGCAGCAAAAAGAAUUCCUGUGUUUUAUCAUCAGCAUGUUGUUUUUCUUUGUUUAAUUGUGAACUUCCUUCCCCUUUUAUGCAGCUGAAGCACAUAAAAUAGGAUGCUGAGAUGAUUAAGGAUGAAUAUCCCAACUAGAGUUCAGCUGAAACAUAUAAAAUUGAAUAUUUGAUCAGACUGCAUUUUUUUUUUGAUUUAAGAAUAUCCAAACUACUAUAUGAGUUAAAUUUUUACGUGUCGUAUGUAUUUAGGAUUUUUUUUUGCGUGUGCUCUUUAACAAGUCUUUCUGGAGCAAAAAAUUGAAGAAGCACACGAGCUCUCUAUAUAAUAGAGGAUCUUGAGUUGCAACUGAGUAAAGAGCAAGAAGAAUAUAAAAGAUUUUGAUUUUUAAUAUUUUUUAAUAUUUAUAUUCAAUUUAGAACCCUGAGCAUUUCCUUCUCUGCUUGAGUGGCAUUGAAAAUAUGACAAAACAUUACAGAGUGCUUCAAGACAAAAAGAUAAUAAUAUUACUUUUGCAUUCCGUUUAUUAAUUAUUGUUUACUUUGUAGGAUUACUUUGAAAUUGAAGAAGUUUAAUUAUUAAAGUCAUAGGCAUAAAGCACAACAGAAGCUAAAAAGGUCACAAGCCCGUCACAAGCCCGUCUUCAAAAGUUAGCUGAAAUGUUUGAUUUUGAAGCCAUAAAACCUGCAAAUGAAGAAUAUUCGAGUGCAAAUGUUCAUUAUGACGGUGGAUCAAAUGGUGAUUAUCAAAUAAAACCAAACAAUGACCGGUUGCAGAAUCUUUUUUUUUUUUUUGCAAGAAAAGAUCUUUGGCCUUUUCUAUCACAAAUGAAGAGGAAAAAGCAGGUGAGUCCUUAAGCAAUUCCUAUGUACAAGAAUUUUGGAUAUUUAUAAGAUUGUUUUCUUAUGGACUCAGAUUUUUAUU